CUUCCCUUUUUCAUCUCACCAGACGUCACACAGCCGUGUAACUGUAAUACAAGAAGUGAAAGAGGCUGAGAGAACAGGCUCAACUUCUAACCCUGAACAAAGGCAAAAAGGAUUUGUCAAGGCGCUACCUCUCUCCCUCUUUCCUCCGCCUCUAAACCCCCCCCCCCCAAAGAAGUGGAGGUGGAGAAAAGCUACCGCCUGGGAUAAUCAGACCAGGCUCACUUUCUGUGGGAGAAGAAGCCAGCUCUCGAGGCUACAGGGCUGUCCUGUUGGAUUAUGUAGGGAUCUGCCUGGAGAAGUCCUGACUCCGAAGCAGAGUGAACAAGAACUACACUGAAAGCUGCAACAGAUAAAACAAAAUGAAGGUAAUAUAAACCAGAAUAAAUCAUUCUGAAAUAUAAGCGUUUUAUUAAAUAUGCAGGUAUUAUUUCUUUCAUUGUGUAUGCAUUUAUGGGAGGAGGGGAAAAAGCCUGUUUAUCAAGGUUUACUUCCUUUUCUGUCAAUAGAACAUUUAAUUGAAUUAUAUCAAAAUCAGGAAGGUAUCCUGUUGAAACUUGUACAUAUAUAAUUGAAUGUUUUUCAUCAGAUUGCUGAGACAGGAGAGAAAUGAUAUUUAUGUUUGGCUUUUCUAAUAAAUUAGAAAGCAGGGCUGCAUGGGAACACUUGUUGUAUAAUUAGGAUUACAGCCCAGUUACUCAAGAAGACAUCUUUAGUUUUAAAAGAAUAACUGCCAUAGCCAUCUUGAGUAAGCUGUGAGUAAUAAAGUGUUCUUUGGUUUUGUUUGUUUUACUUUGAGUCAUUAGAUUGGGCAUAACUUUAUUUAGGCAAAGGCAACAUGAAAGCUCCACCUCGUACAUCUGCUUACUCAUUUGAAGGAUUUUAAUUAUUGAAUUUGUUAGCUCAGUUUUCCCCUAAGUGGCACAUCCACAUAUGUUGGAUUUUGGCUGGGAAUGCUUGGAAAUGAAGUCCAACUCAUCAGGAUUGAUUAUUCUGCAUUGAAAGGAUUUUUUUUUUUUAAAAAAAGAAUCUGAAUGUUUUGGGUAUAUUUAAAAUAUAACUUCACAAGUUUAAAUAAACCUUAAAUGCAAAUUGACAAUAGAAGAUUAAGGACAUUUAGAAACUUCUUGGAGAUGCCCAUGCCCAUAGAGACAGACUGUUAAAAAAAAUAAGAAGUCUGCUGAAUCAAAUCAAAACUCAAGUCUAACAUCCUCUUUCCCAAGGUGGCUAUGAUUCUGUGUGUGCCCCAUGAAAAUUCUGAAUGCUUACUUAAAAUAACUAGCUUGCAUUAUGUUGGAUUUGAGUAUGUAGGUUCUAUAACCAGGGUAGGCCACGUCAUUUUAGGUAGGCCACAUUAUUAAAAAAAUACUUCGAUUUUUAAAAUUAAAAUGAAUGAUUGGGAACUCUUAUGAAAACUUUGAACUUUUUCUGUUGUUGAUUUUUUUUCCAGAACACUCUUUUGUGUCUUGAGAAGUACUUGGACAGCACAGAUGGUCAGCCAUUAGGCCAGUUUUUAUAUACAGCCUAUCUAACCACACAAAAUAAAAAUGUAAGGAAGAGAGGGGUGUACCUUUUAUUAUUUCUAAACCUUUAGAGGAGGUUCUGAAUAGGAAUUGAAUAAUUGGAGCAGUGUUUUGGCAACUUUAAGAUAAGUAGACUUCAACUCCCAGAAUUCCCUAACCAGGCAUGUUAGCUGGGGAAUUCUGGGAGCUGGAGUCCAUGCAUCUUAAAGUUGCCCAAAUUGAGAAACACUGAAUUGGGAUGAUCCAGAAGAAAAACUUUGCAUGAUUCAGGGAAUAAAGAAAGGAAGCAGUGACAUCAGAUCUGGGCAGGUUUACAGUGGGAAAAAGGAGAGCCAAUACCUAGAAGGCACAUUGGAUGAGUGAUCUUGAAGCAGAGAGAGAAAAAAAUAUGUGACUAAAUUGAUAGAAUGUGCCAGGACUGUGGGAUCUGAGAGUUUGUGAAGGCGAUCUUGAAUAUGACAACUGUGGAACCAGUAGUAAGCAGAGGCAGAAGAGGCAAAACUGGUAAUUUUCUCAGAAUGAAGAAGCAAGGGCUCUCCUUUCUUCAAUAUUAUUUUAAUUUUGUCUAGGUUUUCCCCCCUCCUUUCUGAAAAUUUCAACAUUGUAGAGAGUAUAAUAAUGUCUAGGUAGGGCACAUAAAGUCUUAGCGGUUCUUCCACUCAUAAUGUAAUUGUUAAAGCAUUUUAAGGAAAC
This is a non-coding RNA of Thamnophis sirtalis, 2213 nucleotides long. The record is from RefSeq and is a predicted model, not a curated record. Lineage: Eukaryota; Metazoa; Chordata; Lepidosauria; Squamata; Natricidae.